CAGAGCGGUCACAUGCUCCUCUGACCCCUGCUGGAACACGGAGUGAGGAGGAUCUCACAGACUCAGAGAAAGCACCUGGGCAUGUUAUAUGAGGAAAGGGAAGUCUCUCUCUAAAGGUUGCUUCUUAUACAGUGUUUGAAAAAAGCAGUACUACUCAUCCUCCAGUAACUCCCAUCAUAUCUGAUGAUGAUGACGCUGCGGAAGCAGGUCCAUCAAAAGAAGCAGCAGAAGUGGGACUUCUGUAAGACACCACCACAAAAAGCCUGUGGCAGCAAAGAAAGCAAGGGCUGAUGUCCAGGGCCAACCACAACAGGCUACCCCGCCACGAAGAUUAUCCACAGUAUGUUCGGUCCCCCACUCCAAAUUUUGGACACACCUCCAAGACGUCAUCCACACUCCCCUCAUCUUGAUUCUUCUAGUCCUGGUAACAGCAUCCCUCCGCAACAACAGCAACACAGUGACAUGGAGGAGACAAACAUCUUAAAAAUGCAGCCAUUAAGCCAAGGAAUCAGCCCCCCAGCACCUGUUGCACCGAGGUGGCUGUAUGACGAAGCUAAGCGACACAAGUGUGCGGCACAAACACCUGGCCCAUCUAGGAGUGGCACUGCACUGGCAGACAGGAUGGCAGAUAUAAAAAAAAAAGGCCCCAAACAGCACAUCAUGCAAAGAUGUAAAAGAAGUGCACCGAGGUUGCUGUAUGACUAAGCUAAGCGACACAACUACCUGGCCCAUCUAGUAGUGGCAUGCAGUGGCUGAAUGUUGAAAGUGGCCUGCAGUUCUUCAGUCCACUGACAGUAACUCAUGUAUGCCCCUGUAAUUUUUCAAAUAUUCUGCAAUUGUUGGACUUAUACGGCAGUACCCCAGGACUAAUACAGCAGUACCCCUGGACUUAUACGGCAGUGUCAGACAGGAUGGCACUUUAAAAAACCAUGUGCUACUCUAUAUAUUUAUGUUCCUGUGAGAAAUGCUUUAAGUAGAGUUUUCAUUAAUAGAAAAAUAACUCACCCAGGCUGCCACUAACUCGGACCCAGUUCCCAUUCUAGUGAGUCAGAAUGGGUUGAACCUCCAAAAGGAUGCACCCUUAUCAUGAUUUAACUUGACACUGAUAAUGUCGAUAUUAUCUUAGACCGUAAAGCUAUACCUCUAAUUACACUUUUACCGUGGAGCCGCUAGACUGAAUACACGUGCUACGCACUUUGCACGCUAUUUGCGUACAGAGUCCUGCACGAGGUACGCACUUGGCGUACACACGCCGCGCCGAGUGUACAGAGUACACACAGCAAGCGCACACACAAUUGAUAACCUUUAGACCUUGUUAAUGAUACAAUGUAAUGAUUUGCUUACACUUUAAACCCUUAAUAGCAAAGUACUGCAAUGAUGUUAUACCUUAAACCUUAAGUAGCACUGACGGUAUAAAGUAACCGCAGUGCGUACACCUUAUCGAUACUUAUACACCUUAUACAGAUAAAUACACUCUAAAGCCCAUGCAGGAAAGUGAAAACACAACACUGAUUUGUAGUUGCAACCACAGGGUUCUAAGGCAACCGUGGAUUUGUUCCAAAAGGUAAAACAGUACAAAUCAUACACUACAGGCUAACAAGUAAAUCUAAACAGAAUAAUGGCUACAGAGAAUGUACAUACGUGAGAAUGUUCGCAAGCGCAACCCGAGUCGGUCCUCCGCUGGUCAUACAGAUAGCGUUCAGAGUCUAGUGUGUCCAAGCCUGCUGCAAGCUCUCUUUAUUCACUUCAUCCAAAACAAUACAAUGGUCACUGUAAUCCCUAUGUCUAUUGGACACAGAGAUGUACCUUUUCAUUACGGGAGAGGUCAUAGGUUGAUUUGAAAAGGUGGGCUAUGUCUUUCUCAACUGCUCUUGUGGGUGGUCUCCUCUGGAUUCCCCCCGCAUACAUAAUAUACAGUAAACACAGUUAAUGUUCAUAUUCUACUUUUGCACAUAACUAUACGCAGGAACAAGCGAUCUUUCUCAAACCAACACCAGAAUGUUUCCCUUAAAAUACCCUACAGCUGGAUACCAAACACCACCUUGUAACCUUGUUCUGUCCCCUCCUAUCCUGUAAAGGUGAAUCCCUUUGUUCUGUUAUCAUUUUAAACAGCUAUUUCUUUCUGAUGUGGUGCAGGGAGCUAUGUGUACAAUGUGCACUAUUUGGGUUAAAUAUGUAAUGUUCUAAUAACCCUCUACGCGCUCACAAACUCCGCCGUAAAUACCCAUAUCACGCGCAUGAUCGCCGGAGCGAUCCGACGCAAAUUGCGGAUAUGUGCACGAACGGAGGACUGAGUGCACGAGCAGCGGGCAUGUGCAUGGGGUUAGUACAAGGCAGAUGUAUUACAAUAUUUUUCGACAUUGACAACACACAACACAAUGGGGGAAUGAUCGGAAAUAUUCCAAGGCUGAUACUGUACACUACAUAUGGCAGGCAUUAAUGAACAAGAGAAUAAAGCAAGAUCAAUUCUGGAGAAGGAACAAUGUGAUGAGGAAAAAUAAGAGAAUUGUUGAAUGCCAGGAUGCUGUAGCCACCAGGCAUCCACACUUCCCAUCUCAUCUAACAAAGCUGAAAGGCUAGUUGAUGUGGAAAUGAUAUUGGUUCUACUUCCCCGCCACCUGUCCAUGGCAACAUCAACACAUUAUUAAAGUUCCCAACAUAUAGCACAGGAACCCCCGCGGGAAGGAGGAAAGAAAAUCACAGCAUAGCUUAAGGACAUCUGGGUUGAAAGGUGGAGGAACAUAGACUACAAAUAAUAUAAGUGUAUGAGAGUUAAUCAAGGUAUUAAGGAUAAUAAAUAUGCCUAAUGGGUCUGUUUGGACUCUUAGAACAGAGAGUCUAACACACUUAUAUCACAUAAAUUCCCCUAGAGUUUGGGUGAAAGGUGGAGUGGCAACACCAGCCCACCCAUGGGUUGUUUUGUUUUUUUAAGGCCAGGACUCUAUUGCCAAUUAAAUGAGUUUCAAGAAGGCAUACAAUGUCAGGUUUAUAGGAUUUAACAUGGGGGAUCAUUAGGGAUCUCUUUAUCAUAUCACUGAGUCCCUGGGCUUUCCAGGGCAAAACAGUUAAUCCCAAAAUAAAAAGAAUUGGACUAUAGGAACCAGUGCCAUGAAACAGAGAGUCAGAGGAUCACAUUGUGCAUGUGAACACCUGCCAAGCCAAACAAUAGUAUAAUAAUUAGAAAAAAAACAACACCAAAAACAUCAUAUUAGUACUAAACAGUGAAAACAGAGAAAAAAAAGUAUCAACACACAGAAAAAGAGGCCAUUUACUGGGUGCACUGAGAACCUGACAAAUAACAAAUAAAUGACUAAAACAUAUCCUUUAUUAUUCUCUCUUUAUUAGCCUUAUGAAAAAUUAAAAAUAAAUAAAGUAAGUGAAAAAGUUAGAAAUAGUGAUAUUAAAAAAUAUCAGAGACUGCUAUAUGUAUUCCAAGGGUAUAUUCCCUAUUAUAGGCAAUUAUAGCCCCCACUGCCAAUAUACAUUGCCCUAUGAGAUCCUAUCAAUCACAGUGUUUCAAUUGUAUUAUGUUAUCUAGGAUAUCUUAAUAGAGAUCUUAUACACUCAUAAUGAACCUUGAUAUAUAGCGAUAUAUUAUAAUGUACUGUAUCAAUA
Long non-coding RNA from Pseudophryne corroboree (corroboree frog), 3615 nucleotides. RefSeq lists it as uncharacterized. The transcript has 5 exons. The record is from RefSeq and is a predicted model, not a curated record. NCBI's taxonomy places the organism in Eukaryota, Metazoa, Chordata, Amphibia, Anura, Myobatrachidae.